CCUACGUGAGGCAGCAGUGGGGAAUAUUGCGCAAUGGGCGAAAGCCUGACGCAGCGACGCCGCGUGAGGGAUGAAGGUCUUCGGAUCGUAAACCUCUGUCAGCAGGGAAGAACGGUCACUGUGCUAAUCAGCAGUGAAUUGACGGUACCUGCAAAGGAAGCACCGGCUAACUCCGUGCCAGCAGCCGCGGUAAUACGGAGGGUGCGAGCGUUAAUCGGAAUUACUGGGCGUAAAGCGCUCGUAGGCGGUAUGUCAAGUCAAGGGUGAAAUCCCCGCGCUCAACGUGGGAACUGCCUUUGAAACUGGCAAACUGGAGUGUGUGAGAGGAUAGUGGAAUGCCAGGUGUAGGAGUGAAAUCCGUAGAUAUCUGGAGGAACAUCAGUGGCGAAGGCGACUAUCUGGCACAUAACCGACGCUGAGGAGCGAAAGCGUGGGUAGCAAACAGGAUUAGAUACCCUAGUAGUC
RNAcentral lists this ribosomal RNA (465 nucleotides) under uncultured bacterium. RNAcentral describes it as "partial 16S ribosomal RNA". It matches the Rfam family "Bacterial small subunit ribosomal RNA", at positions 338 to 795 of the family's 1533-position model. The record is from RNAcentral.